RNAcentral lists this transfer RNA (72 nucleotides) under Lactobacillus amylovorus. Its description in RNAcentral is "tRNA-Trp". It matches the Rfam family "tRNA". Rfam says of the family: Transfer RNA (tRNA) molecules are approximately 80 nucleotides in length. RNAcentral also lists the same sequence under 5 other names. The record is from RNAcentral. Lineage: Bacteria; Bacillati; Bacillota; Bacilli; Lactobacillales; Lactobacillaceae.
GCAAGCAUAGUGCAAUGGCUAGCACAAUAGUCUCCAAAACUAUUAAUCUAGGUUCAAGCCCUAGUGCUUGUG